This 240-nucleotide unclassified non-coding RNA is filed under the name soil metagenome. Its description in RNAcentral is "partial contains 5.8S ribosomal RNA, internal transcribed spacer 2, and large subunit ribosomal RNA". The record is from RNAcentral.
AACCAUAGAAACCUGCGGAGUACCUGCGGAGGGAUCAUCGCUGGAUCUCGGAUCUAUUAUGCGUGUGAACUGUAUGUGUGGGGGAGGGUUGGCAGGGGGGAGUGGGGCGCGUUAGCGCCUCUGUCUCCGUGUGGGGCACCCGUAAGGGUGCUGUGUGGGGGUCCUCCACUCCCGUGUGGUGUGUGGGGCCACUCGCUUGCCACACCUGCCACCCGCUCCGGCAUUUGUGCAAAUCGCUAG